Molecule: transfer RNA, 78 nt
Filed under: Roseibium sp. RKSG952
Lineage: Bacteria; Pseudomonadati; Pseudomonadota; Alphaproteobacteria; Hyphomicrobiales; Stappiaceae
Description: tRNA-Pro
Rfam family: tRNA
About the family: Transfer RNA (tRNA) molecules are approximately 80 nucleotides in length. Their secondary structure includes four short double-helical elements and three loops (D, anti-codon, and T loops).
Source: RNAcentral
CAGACGUUGGCGCAGCUAGGUUAGCGCACCGCUCUGGGGGAGCGGGGGUCGUCGGUUCGAAUCCGACACGUCUGACCA